CGCCUCUUGAUUAAUAUAAGAGGUCCAGCCUGCCCAGUGACUCUGUUCAACGGCCGCGGUAUCCUAACCGUGCGAAGGUAGCGUAAUCACUUGUUCUUUAAAUGAGGACUAGUAUGAACGGCAUCACGAAGGUUUUACUGUCUCCUUUUUUUAAUCAGUGAAACUAAUCUCCUCGUGAAGAAACGAGGAUAAAUUUAUAAGACGAGAAGACCCUAUGGAGCUUUAAACUAUAUAUUAAUCGCUUAUUUUUUACUAAAUUUCAGAAUUUUACUUUUUAUUCUAGCCUUAUAGUAUCAAGUUUUAGGUUGGGGUGACCGCGGAGUAAAAAAUAACCUCCACAUUGAAAGGAUAUUUUCCUGAACAAAAAAUUACAAUUUUAUGCACCAAUAAAUUGACAUUAAUUGACCCAAUAUUUUGAUCAACGAACCAAGUUACCCUAGGGAUAACAGCGCAAUCUACUUCAAGAGCUCCUAUCGACAAGUAGGUUUACGACCUCGAUGUUGGAUCAGGGUAUCCUAGUGGUGCAGCCGCUACUAAAGGUUCGUUUGUUCAACGAUUAAAACCCUACGUGAUCUGAGU
This 579-nucleotide ribosomal RNA is filed under the name Sphaenorhynchus prasinus. Its description in RNAcentral is "LSU rRNA". It matches the Rfam family "Bacterial large subunit ribosomal RNA", at positions 1819 to 2610 of the family's 2925-position model. Lineage: Eukaryota; Metazoa; Chordata; Amphibia; Anura; Hylidae. The record is from RNAcentral.